RNAcentral lists this ribosomal RNA (253 nucleotides) under uncultured bacterium. RNAcentral describes it as "partial 16S ribosomal RNA". It matches the Rfam family "Bacterial small subunit ribosomal RNA", at positions 524 to 776 of the family's 1533-position model. The record is from RNAcentral.
UACGGAGGGUGCUAGCGUUGUUCGGAAUUACUGGGCGUAAAGGGCGCGUAGGCGGCCCUGUCAGUCGGGUGUGAAAGCCCGGGGCUCAACCCCGGAACGGCACCCGAGACGGCGGGGCUGGAGACCGGGAGAGGAGGGUGGAAUAGCCAGUGUAGAGGUGAAAUUCGUAGAUAUUGGCUGGAACACCGGUGGCGAAAGCGGCUCUCUGGCCCGGUUCUGACGCUGAGGCGCGAAAGCGUGGGGAGCAAACAGG